UACAGAGGGUGCGAGCGUUGUUCGGAAUUAUUGGGCGUAAAGAGCGUGUAGGCGGCUUUGCAGGUCCGCUGUGAAAACUCGAGGCUCAACCUCGAGCUGUCGGUGGAAACCGUAAAGCUAGAGUCCGGAAGAGGAGAGUGGAAUUCCCGGUGUAGCGGUGAAAUGCGCAGAUAUCGGGAAGAACACCCGUGGCGAAGGCGGCUCUCUGGGACGGUACUGACGCUGAGACGCGAAAGCGUGGGGAGCGAACAGG
RNAcentral lists this ribosomal RNA (253 nucleotides) under uncultured bacterium. RNAcentral describes it as "partial 16S ribosomal RNA". It matches the Rfam family "Bacterial small subunit ribosomal RNA", at positions 524 to 776 of the family's 1533-position model. The record is from RNAcentral.